CAGUCGCCACGGUAAUACGAAGGGUGCAAGCGUUACUCGGAAUUACUGGGCGUAAAGCGUGCGUAGGUGGUGGUUUAAGUCCGUUGUGAAAGCCCUGGGCUCAACCUGGGAAUUGCAGUGGAUACUGGGUCACUGGAGUGUGGUAGAGGAUAGUGGAAUUUCCGGUGUAGCAGUGAAAUGCGUAGAGAUCGGAAGGAACAUCUGUGGCGAAGGCGACUAUCUGGGCCAACACUGACACUGAGGCACGAAAGCGUGGGGAGCAAACAGGAUUAGAUACCCCUGUAGUCCAUGUCUCUUAUAC
Molecule: ribosomal RNA, 301 nt
Filed under: uncultured bacterium
Lineage: Bacteria
Description: partial 16S ribosomal RNA
Rfam family: Bacterial small subunit ribosomal RNA
Source: RNAcentral